GGAAGUGGCAUAAAGGCAACCAUGAGCUACUGGAGGACCUGGGACUUUCCGGCUCGAGACAAGACAAACUGGCAAGACAGCUCUCGAAUCCAGCUUUGUUCACCUCUGUUGCCAUUGUACAGAUGUCUGUUAGUGAAAGUAGAACUCUUAUUAGAGUAUUAAAAAAAAAAAAAAAACACACAAAAAAAUUCAAACAAAACAAAACAAGCAAACAAACAAAACCAAAAUCCCCAUUCCUUUCAUUAUUCAUAGACUUAUUGUUGGUUAUCAUUGAAUCAUUGUCAUUACUUGUAUAAGACAUAUGUAUUCUUAAUCAUGGAACUAACCUGCUCACAACAUCUACUCACAAGCCAGUUAGAGGGGUAAGAUCUGGAUGGGCCUCCCUUUCUUGACACCAAUGAUAGUAUGUUUGGAUGAAGAGUAGGGCAUGACAUGUCACCUUCUCCUAAUUUGGAUAACUAACACUAACAUAGGUGGAGGGGCCACAUUUCCUUAACCCGGAAAAGAAACAGAGAAAGAAAUGUAUAUGUUUCUUAAAUUGCCAAAUGCCUCGUCAUCUAAUUAGUGACGCGCAUGAAUGGAUGAAGGAGAUUCCCACUGUCCCUACCUACUAUCCAGUGAAACCACAGCCAAGGGAACGGGCUUGGCGGAAUCAGCGGGGAAAGAAGACCCUGUUGAGCUUGACUCUAGUCUGGCGCUGGGAAGAGACAUGAGAGGUGUAGAAUAAGUGGGAGGUCGGGCGUGCGGUGUGGGGUGGGGUGGGAGUGAGCCCUGAGGGAGGCUCUC
RNAcentral lists this non-coding RNA (786 nucleotides) under Antrostomus carolinensis (chuck-will's-widow). Its description in RNAcentral is "Caprimulgus carolinensis (chuck-will's-widow) Eukaryotic large subunit ribosomal RNA". It matches the Rfam family "Eukaryotic large subunit ribosomal RNA", at positions 2088 to 2484 of the family's 3401-position model. Lineage: Eukaryota; Metazoa; Chordata; Aves; Caprimulgiformes; Caprimulgidae. The record is from Rfam by way of RNAcentral.